This 382-nucleotide ribosomal RNA is filed under the name uncultured eukaryote. RNAcentral's name for it is "partial 18S ribosomal RNA". It matches the Rfam family "Eukaryotic small subunit ribosomal RNA", at positions 592 to 976 of the family's 1831-position model. The record is from RNAcentral.
UGUAAGCGUAUACCAAAGUUGUUGCAGUUAAAACGCUCGUAGUCGGAAUUUGGCAGUUCCGGAUGUGUGCACGUCGUGUGCGCACUUCGCGGGGAUUGCUUUUGUGGUCUUGCGUAGGAUGAGGCACUUUUAUUAGUGAACGUCCUCACGCAACCACUUUUUACUGUGAGAAAAUCAGAGUGCUCAAAGCAGGCAUUUGCCGUGAAUGUAUUAGCAUGGAAUAAUAGAAUAGGACUUGGUUCUAUUUUGUUGGUUUGUUGGGACUGAGUAAUGAUUAAGAGGGACAGUUGGGGGCAUUUGUAUUUCGGUGCUAGAGGUGAAAUUCUUAGAUUAGCGAAAGACAAACUGCUGCGAAAGCGUCUGCCAAGGAUGUUUUCAUUGA